CGUGCGGGUGGCGCGGCAGGCGCGCGCGCCGGUGCCGGGCGCGCGGCGCGCUCCAGCAACAGUUCGAGUUCGGCCCGCACGGC
This 83-nucleotide transfer RNA is filed under the name Variovorax sp. RNAcentral's name for it is "tRNA-Ala". The record is from RNAcentral. RNAcentral also lists the same sequence under 1 other name. Lineage: Bacteria; Pseudomonadati; Pseudomonadota; Betaproteobacteria; Burkholderiales; Comamonadaceae.